This 3104-nucleotide long non-coding RNA is filed under the name Solanum tuberosum (potato). Its description in RNAcentral is "long non-coding RNA (STUB_LNC009495)". Lineage: Eukaryota; Viridiplantae; Streptophyta; Magnoliopsida; Solanales; Solanaceae. The record is from RNAcentral.
UUCAAUACAAAAAUAUAUCAAAGUGUACUAUAGUUUUACAAACUAAAUUGAAAUGUCAUUCACUUCAACCAUUACGAUUACAAGAAACUUCAAAUCUUGCUUGAACUUCAAAUCACUACAAAAACUUGCUUAAACUUCAAAUCACUAGCAUCCAAACUCAAGAUAGGAUCUGCAACAGUUCAUGAAACUCAGCGGAUUUCACUACGAUAUCACCUGGCUGCAAAGAGAAAUACACAAUAAGCGACUUCAUCCAAACUCAAAACAUGGAUGAAUAUAGCAUACUUGAUGAAUUUAGUACUACCAGCCAGUUAAGUUAUAUGGUGGAAUAAGACAUGUUAGUUGACAAGAAUAUAUUACAACAAUAACAACAUAAUACACAGUGAAAUUUCACAAGCGGGUUUGGGAAAGGUAGAAUAUACGCACAAGUAAUGACUUAUCCCCAGUUACGCUUGUCAGGGAGCAAAAGGAAAACAAUUACUAUUGUUUAUGUCCAGCCAAAUAAUACAACUUACAGAGUUAAGAGCCUGCUCAAGAAAUACAUCAGUAGCUACCUUUUUGUGUAACUCAAACCAAUUGGGUCUGCGAUGGCCACAAGCCACUACUCCCCUGUACUAAUUUUACUUUUUAAUGAAAUGCUUCAUAUUUCCUUACCAAAAAAAAAGUAACAACAAAUGGGUCCUAGUUAGAUAAAGUCUAAAGAUUAAUUCAUUGGGAAAAGAAAUUAAUUAGUAAUAUCUAUAUGGCUAGAUCUCACAUUAGUUGUACACUGAAAUGUACCUCUAAUCCUUAAUUCUUUGAAGUAUCAAAGUUCCAGAGAAAAAGAUUUUACUUACCAAUGCCAACCACCUUGCUAUGCCUAUAUAACAUAAUUAUAGGUGCAGUAAGUUCUCAAGACAAUGUAAAAUAUUCAUUAAACAACACCAACAACUAUAUAAAAGCUAUAACUUGAAAUGUAAAAGUCCAACUAGUGAAUUAGAAAAUACCAGUUACUAUUCAGAUGAUCAAUUAUAAUUUUUUGAAAAGGCACAAUUACUAAAAAUAAUGUGACCUCUCAAAACUGAACAUGAGUCUAAUGAUGCUUAGGAUUGGGUCUGUUGGGAGAAAUUGAAUUUUGCUUGCAAAAAGAGUCCACUGGCCAUCCAAGAUGUAAUCUUGGCAAUAAUCUUGUCCACUAAGGGUUUAAUUGGACUAUUGUAAGCCUUUUAGGUGUCGUUUAAUACAAAGAUUAAUAAUGUAGGGAUUAGUAAUGCAAGGUUCCUUAGUAAAAUUGUUUGGCACACCUAGAUAUUUGAAACAGAGUUCUCCAACCUCAUAUCCAAGCAUAGUCAAGAUGGUUUCCUUAGUAAAUUUGUUAAUACCUUCAAAACAUACCUGACUUUUCAAAAUGAUGGUCUUCAAAUCAGAAGCAUCAGAAAACAUAUUGAAUUUACCCCUCGAUAGUUGUAGUUGUAUAGAUCUGACAUCUCAUCUAGUAAAUAUAGUAAGUCAACAGCAACAAAGUACUGAUUCAAAACUGAUGUCAACAUCUAGAUGGAAAAAAAUGUUUCAUCAAACUUUCUUAGUUGUAAAUCAGCACAACUACAAAGAAAAAAGACAUUCUUGCAACUCUUCCAAAUCUGUUUGGGUUAAAGGAAUUUUGCAUUUAACUAUCAUUCCAUCUUCACUAACUAUCUAAAGGACAAAAUCAAAUAAAAAAAUACAAUAAACUCACAAGAUUUGUAGAGCGUCGCAGAACUUGAGCGAGUUGUGCAUGACUGCUUAUAAGAGCUUUUAUCUUCUUCAACAAUGCAGCCACAAAUAUUGACACUAUAGCACGAAAAAAUAGUGCAAACUGUCUUAAAGAAAGAUCUCAUCAGAAAAAUGAGAACCAAAUUUAAAAAGAAUAGCUGAAAAGUAGAUGAAACUUACGGAAAUAGCUGGGAAUAUAGACGAAAUCAGGUUCAGUAAUGUGGGAGGAGAUAGUGGUGGGAGUGACGUCUUUGGGAUCGGUGGCAAAAGGGAUGGUUGGGUUUGGGGACAAUUCCAGUUGUUGGGGAUGAUCGUAACAUGUAUACUCAAUAUACUCGAUAUGGUUAGUCAAUCGAUAAAGUGAAACAACCUUAUGGUGCUACUUCUAAUCCUACACAGGCUGAUGACGCGACAAGAAAGAACAGUUCAUCAUCAAACAAGUUGAAAACACCACAUUUCUCCAAUAUCACCACCUUAUAACAUAGAAACAAAUAUCAUAUCUCUCAAAUUUACCAGAUUCACUUACAACUAACAAAAAUCAAUUAAGAAGUUAAUCUAUCCAACCAAAAAAUCAAUUACUAGCAAGUUAUUCUCUAUGUAAACCUUAUUUAAUUAGAUUAUCCAUAUUGAAACCCUAAAGAAUCGAAGUUUAGGGGAAAUCCAAAAAGUACAAUAGUUAUAAACCUUAGAAAGAGCUGAAGCUUCUCCAUGGUGCAGGACGUAGGGCAACGAGCCUAUUGGAGCAUUCUUUUACUCCAAAAUCGGCGAAGAUAUUGCAGAUUUUCUGAAACUAAAAUAGAUUCAAAAUACAAAUCUCAAAACUUUUUACAAACAAUUUGAAGUUGAGAAAAAAAAAAUCAGUUGAUUUAUAGAUUGAAAAUGCAUGAAAAUGAGGAAAAGAGAACUCAUUUUUGAAGCUUUCGAUGUCUAAAUUAAGGAGCAAUUGUUAAAUAGAGAGAAAUUGGGAAGUAAGAGAGGAGAAGAGAAGUAUGAACCAACGAUACCGCCAAUCGCCACCGCCGCCUCCAUCUUUUCCUACUCCGACCACUGUUAUUGUGGAUGAAGACAGUGAUAGCUCCGCCACCAUGGAUUCGCCACCGUGCCGCCUCCAUCACUUCCUACUCCAACCCUAAUUAUCAUAUGAAAAUUGAUCAGUUCGGGAUCGCAGAAAAUAGAAUGAAACUUUUUUUUAUUUGGGGAUUAAAUGAGCAACGAUAUAAAAUUUUAUUUUUUAGGAUAGCGGCGGGUAAUAACCCCACAAAUUCUACUAAAAUUAUAGGGGUUAAUCAAACCUCCGUAAUUUGAUGUAAUUUGUGGGGGUUGAGUUAACCUCCAUUAUAAAACCUCUAGGAUUUAAGUGUUUUUUUGUAGUGGAU